This 495-nucleotide unclassified non-coding RNA is filed under the name uncultured Archaeospora. Its description in RNAcentral is "SSU rRNA". It matches the Rfam family "Eukaryotic small subunit ribosomal RNA", at positions 591 to 1092 of the family's 1831-position model. Lineage: Eukaryota; Fungi; Glomeromycota; Glomeromycetes; Archaeosporales; Archaeosporaceae. The record is from RNAcentral.
CCAAUAGCGUAUAUUAAAGUUGUUGCAGUUAAAAAGCUCGUAGUUGAAUUUUAGGCCUGGCCGGAUGGUCCGUCUUUGGCGAGUACUGUUCUGUCGUCGGGUCUAUCCUUCUGGUGAGCCGGGAUGCCCUUUAUUGGGUGUGUCGGGGAACCAGGACCAUUACCUUGAAAAAAUUAGAGUGUUUAAAGCGGGCAUUUACUUGAAUAGAUUAGCAUGGAAUAAUAGAAUAGGACGUUGGUUCUAUUUUGUUGGUUUUAGGACCACCGUAAUGAUUAAUAGGGAUAUUUGGGGGCAUUAGUAUUCAAUUGUCAGAGGUGAAAUUCUUGGAUUUAUUGAAGACUAACUAUUGCGAAAGCAUUUGCCAAGGAUGUUUUCAUUAAUCAAGAACGAAAGUUAGGGGAUCGAAGACGAUCAGAUACCGUCGUAGUCUUAACCAUAAGCUAUGCCGACUAGGAAUCGGGCGACGUUAUUUCAUGACUCGCUCGGCGCCUUAUG